AGUCAUGCUUUGUAUAUAUCAAUGAUUGGUGGGAGCUGAAGCAACUGCUGCCUUUAGAUAGGAUGCACUGGGACCCCACCACACUCCAAUGUCACUUUUACUAGCCCUGCUUCAGCAUUUAUAUGGCCUGGAUGGCCCCCAUAACCAUUUCAGAGGGUGGUCCCAGACCUACGCCGUCUACCUUCAGUUACUGCUAGCCUUGUUCUCUGCUCCCAGCCCUUGUCUACUCUCCUCCAAUGCAUAAUAGGAGGCUAGAAAGUAGACAGUCAUGCUUUUCCUCCCUGGCUGUCUGAGGAUAGACCACCAUCAUGAACGGUACAUAACUAUUGGCACUAGAAAGUUCAUGACCAACUGACAACUUCAGAGGAAACAAAUGGUCAUUGAUAUCCUUCACCCCGGGAAGGCAACAGUUGCCUAAGACAGAAAUUCGGGAAAAACUAGCCAAAAUGUACACGACCACACAGGAUGUCAUCUUUGUAUUUGGAUUCAAAACUCAUUUUGAUGGUGGCAAGACAACUGGCUUUGGCAUGAUUUAUGAUUCCCCAGAUUAUGCAAAGAAAAAUGAACCCAAACAUAGACUUGCAAGACAAGGCCUGUAUGAGCAGAAAAAGACCUCAAGAAAGCAGCGAGAGGAACACAAGAACGGAAUGAGGAAAGUCAGGGGGACUGCAAAGGCCAAUGUUGGUGCUGGCAAAAAGCUGAAGGAGUAAAGGUGCUGCAAUGGUGUUAUCUGUGGCCGUUGUGGAUUUUUCAUGAGAUGAUUAAUAAACUAAAAACUU
Chlorocebus sabaeus (green monkey) is the source of this 779-nucleotide non-coding RNA. NCBI's taxonomy places the organism in Eukaryota, Metazoa, Chordata, Mammalia, Primates, Cercopithecidae. The record is from RefSeq and is a predicted model, not a curated record.